RNAcentral lists this ribosomal RNA (2332 nucleotides) under anaerobic digester metagenome. RNAcentral describes it as "bacterial LSU rRNA". It matches the Rfam family "Bacterial large subunit ribosomal RNA", at positions 631 to 2925 of the family's 2925-position model. The record is from RNAcentral.
CUCUAUGCAGCAAGGUUAAGUGAUAGGAAUCACGGAGCCGCAGCGAAAGCGAGUCUUAAUAGGGCGAUAUAGUUGUAUGGAGUAGACCCGAAACCGAGUGAUCUAGCCAUGGCCAGGUUGAAGUUCCGGUAAAACGGAAUGGAGGACCGAACCGUUGUAUGUUGAAAAAUGCUCGGAUGAGCUGUGGCUAGGGGUGAAAGGCCAAACAAACUCGGCAAUAGCUGGUUCUCCUCGAAAUAGCUUUAGGGCUAGCCUCAUGAGUUUAGUUACGGAGGUAGAGCACUGAUUGGGCUAGGGGGUCCACAAACUUACCAAACCCACUUAAACUUCGAAUGCCGUAACUUUAGAUCAUGGGAGUCAGACUGCGGGAGAUAAGUUUCGUAGUCAAAAGGGAAAGAGCCCAGACCAACAGCUAAGGUCCCCAAGUAUAUGCUAAGUGAUAAAGGAAGUGAAGUCGCACAGACACCCAGGAGGUUGGCUUAGAAGCAGCAACCCUUUAAAGAGUGCGUAAUAGCUCACUGGUCGAGUGACUUUGCGCCGAAAAUAAUUGGGGCUAAGCAUAUCACCGAAGCUUUGGAUUGUAUGUAAAUACAGUGGUAGAGGAGCGUUCUAUACGGGCUGAAGGUCAACCGCGAGGAUGGCUGGACUGUAUAGAAGUGAGUAUGCCGGCAUGAGUAACGAUAAAAGAAGUAAAAAACUUCUUCGCCGUAAGCCUAAGGUUUUCUGGGCAAUGUUAAUCAUCUCAGAGUUAGUCGGCCCCUAAGAUCAGGCUGAAAAGCGUAGUCGAUGGGAAGCAGGUUCAUAUUCCUGCACCACCCGGUGGAGGUUAUCGUGAUGGAGUGACGUAGAAGGAUAUGGACGCAGGGCGUUGGUUGUCCCUGUUCUUAUUCGUAGGCUGAAAGUCCAGGCAAAUCCGGACUUUCUUAAGGCUGAGGAUGUAGGGGAGUGGAGCUUCUAGCGAAGCGAAGGUCCUGAUUCCAUGCUACCAGGAAAAACUUCUAAACGCGAAACCGGGUGACCGUACCGCAAACCGACACAGGUAGGCGGGGAGAGUAUCCUAAGGCGCUCGAGAGAACCCUCGUUAAGGAACUCGGCAAAAUGGUCCCGUAACUUAGGGAGAAGGGACGCCCCGUUAUUGUGAAACGCUUUACGCGUGGAGCAUGAGGGGGCCGCAGAUAAAUGGCUCAAGCGACUGUUUACCAAAAACACAGGACUCUGCAAACUCGUAAGAGAAAGUAUAGGGUCUGACACCUGCCCGGUGCUGGAAGGUUAAGAGGAAGUGUUAGCUGAUAUUUAUAUUUGCGAAGCUCUGAAUUGAAGCCCCAGUAAACGGCGGCCGUAACUAUGACGGUCCUAAGGUAGCGAAAUUCCUUGUCGGGUAAGUUCCGACCUGCACGAAUGGUGUAACGACUUGAGCACUGUCUCAACGAGGGACUCGGUGAAAUUGUAAUGUUCGUGAAGAUGCGGACUACCUGCAGAAGGACGGAAAGACCCCGUGCACCUUUACUGUAGCCUGACAUUGUACUCUGGUUCAGCAUGUGUAGGAUAGGUGGGAGACUUUGAAGCCGAAACGCCAGUUUUGGUGGAGUCAUCCUUGAAAUACCACCCUUGUUGUAUUGGACUACUAACCGGUACCCUUUGAACAGGGGCUGGGACAUUGUCUGGUGGGCAGUUUGACUGGGGCGGUCGCCUCCUAAAGUGUAACGGAGGCGCUCAAAGGUUCCCUCAGCACGGACGGAAAUCGUGCGUAGAGUGCAAACGCAUAAGGGAGCUUAACUGCGAGACCUACAAGUCGAGCAGAUACGAAAGUAGGAGUUAGUGAUCCGGUGGUCCCGCGUGGAAGGGCCAUCGCUCAACGGAUAAAAGGUACGCCGGGGAUAACAGGCUUAUAGCGCCCAAGAGUUCAUAUCGACGGCGCUGUUUGGCACCUCGAUGUCGGCUCGUCGCAUCCUGGGGCUGGAGAAGGUCCCAAGGGUUGGGCUGUUCGCCCAUUAAAGCGGCACGCGAGCUGGGUUCAGAACGUCGUGAGACAGUUUGGUCCCUAUCCUCUGCAGGCGUUGGAAAUUUGAGGAGAGCUGUUCCUAGUACGAGAGGACCGGAAUGGACGAACCUCUGGUGAACCAGUUGUCGCGCCAGCGGCACAGCUGGGUGGCUAUGUUCGGAACGGAUAACCGCUGAAAGCAUCUAAGCAGGAAGCCGACUCCAAGAUUAGAUUUCCCUCUGGCUUUAAGCCAGCUGAAGACUCCUGGAAGACUACCAGGUCGAUAGGAUGGAGGUGUAAGUGUGGUGACACAUUCAGCCGACCAUUACUAAUCAGUCGUGAGGCUUGACC